CUUUUUCUGCUCCCGUAGCUGAUUUUCACAUAUGUUGCAUAUUAAAGAGGAUAUGAGUUUGAUGCUUUCUUCUGAUAAAAAAUGAAAAUUUUAUGAAUUAUUUUUAUUGGACUCAGAGGUUCCCCAGUCUUCAUCCAGGGUCCUGCUGCGUUAGGCACUGCACAAACACAGGGCUCAAAAGUUUACAGCGACUGUAAGAAGAGCGAAUGAAGGAAACCACUUAGAUCCCGGUGCAGUCUGAAUAACUCUGCUAAGAAGCACAUUCAGGACUUGUAGCUUGGAAAGCCAUACACAUGUGGUUUAACCUAACAGAAAGGAGGGGCAGCCUGAUGUGGUCCAGAAGCUGUGUUUUUCUUCAGCAGUGGGCUCAGGGAGUUUGGUCACCAGCUGUUACUGCUGGAUCUGCCAUCAGCUGCUGCAGCCCUGGCCUCCUGGGAAAGGCUUUCUAAUGAGGAUGGAGGCCUCGGGGCUCUGAUGUGGAACAGAGGCUGCUGCAGCGAGAGCUAAGGAGAUAAGAUCAAUAGGAAAUGCAGAUUUGCAACAUAUUAGAAACAUGACAGCUUCCACGCAUACCCUGAGGAAAGGAUUUUUAACUCUUUUAAAGGAGUGGCAGAAAGUCUACGCCUCAUGCAUAUAUAUUUGCAUAUAUGUGUGCCUAGAACAGAACCAGGAUGUCCCCAUUCAUACCAAGAGGAGCCUCAGGUUGCAGUGCGUGGGGGAGGGUAACACAGCCAGUGGCUGCAAGCUGCAAUAGCCAAGUGGACAAGGAGCAAACUAUAGGCUUUUAACAGCCAGGAUGAGUGACUGCUGAAAGUGCUCAUAGAAGGAUGGGAGGAAGCUGGUAUCACUCGAAGCCUGUAAUUCUAGAGCAGAACUUCUAAAUUGUCACUAAACUUCAGCCACACACUGCUCAAGCUGGUCAAGUAAAACCUGAAGCAAGACUCCUAGACUGACUAGAGCACUAUGAUAGCCCCUCCUGGAUUGUGAGAAUUGUGUACAUUGCUAUGAUGCCCUAGAAACACUGUAAAGAGUAAUUCAGGUGUUGGUAUCACAUCAUCUGGUCUACCUGCACCUGCUUUCCAGCUGCCUGCUGUGUUAAAGGUGCCAGAAAUAAAUGCUGUGAUCUGUUUGGAAUGUAUUUUGAA
Molecule: long non-coding RNA, 1145 nt
Filed under: Phasianus colchicus (ring-necked pheasant)
Lineage: Eukaryota; Metazoa; Chordata; Aves; Galliformes; Phasianidae
Description: lncRNA (ENSPCLG00000000777.1)
Source: RNAcentral